Molecule: ribosomal RNA, 498 nt
Filed under: uncultured bacterium
Lineage: Bacteria
Description: partial 16S ribosomal RNA
Rfam family: Bacterial small subunit ribosomal RNA
Source: RNAcentral
GAUGAACGCUGGCGGCGUGCCUAACACAUGCAAGUCGAACGGGGAUCUAGAGGAAAAGGUACUUGUACCUCGGACUUUAGAUUCUAGUGGCGGACGGGUGAGUAACACGUGAGCAACCUGCCUUGAUCAGGGGGAUAACAACGGGAAACCGUUGCUAAUACCGCAUAAUAUGCCGUUGGGGCAUCCCAGUGGCAUCAAAGGAGUAAUCCGGAUUGAGAUGGGCUCGCGUCCGAUUAGUUAGUUGGUGAGGUAACGGCUCACCAAGACUGCGAUCGGUAGCCGGACUGAGAGGUUGACCGGCCACAUUGGGACUGAGACACGGCCCAGACUCCUACGGGAGGCAGCAGUGGGGAAUAUUGGGCAAUGGGGGAAACCCUGACCCAGCGACGCCGCGUGAAGGAUGAAGGCCUUCGGGUUGUAAACUUCUUUGAUCGGGGACGAUAAUGACGGUACCCGAGGAACAAGCCACGGCUAACUACGUGCCAGCCGCCGCGGUAA